GACGAACGCUGGCGGCGUGCUUAACACAUGCAAGUCGAACGGAAAGGCCCUGCUUUUGUGGGGUGCUCGAGUGGCGAACGGGUGAGUAACACGUGAGUAACCUGCCCUUGACUUUGGGAUAACUUCAGGAAACUGGGGCUAAUACCGGAUAGGAGCUCCUGCUGCAUGGUGGGGUUUGGAAAGUUUCGGCGGUUGGGGAUGGACUCGCGGCUUAUCAGCUUGUUGGUGGGGUAGUGGCUUACCAAGGCUUUGACGGGUAGCCGGCCUGAGAGGGUGACCGGCCACAUGGGGACUGAGAUACGGCCCAGACUCCUACGGGAGGCAGCAGUGGGGAAUAUUGCACAAUGGGCGGAAGCCUGAUGCAGCAACGCCGCGUGCGGGAUGACGGCCUUCGGGUUGUAAACCGCUUUCGCCUGUGACGAAGAGUGAGUGACGGUAAUGGGUAAAGAAGCACCGGCUAACUACGUG
RNAcentral lists this ribosomal RNA (468 nucleotides) under uncultured bacterium. RNAcentral's name for it is "partial 16S ribosomal RNA". It matches the Rfam family "Bacterial small subunit ribosomal RNA", at positions 28 to 507 of the family's 1533-position model. The record is from RNAcentral.